AAAAACGGCACUUCCGGUCAAAAUUUUGACGCCACUGUAGUAUCAUCGGACUCAAAAGGACCAAACGAUCUCGAAAGAUCAAAACCCAGAAAUGAAUCCGUGGUCAACCCUAAGGAAUCAAAUUUUCAGGCCCAAGAUUUUGAUCAGAGUGUUAAUGGCGAGUGUGAGCAUCAAGAGAGCGCAGCUGCAGCAGCCACUCUGAGCAAUGGCAAGACUAAUGGGACCCAGAUUCAGAAUGGUUUCGACAUCAGUCAGCAGCAGAUGGUGGCAAAGUCUGUUGGGUAUGAGACAAAUCAGAUUCAAAGGGCUAAAUC
RNAcentral lists this unclassified non-coding RNA (314 nucleotides) under Hevea brasiliensis (rubber tree). The record is from RNAcentral. Lineage: Eukaryota; Viridiplantae; Streptophyta; Magnoliopsida; Malpighiales; Euphorbiaceae.